RNAcentral lists this ribosomal RNA (421 nucleotides) under uncultured bacterium. RNAcentral describes it as "bacterial SSU rRNA". It matches the Rfam family "Bacterial small subunit ribosomal RNA", at positions 355 to 774 of the family's 1533-position model. The record is from RNAcentral.
UAAGGAAUAUUGGUCAAUGGACGCAAGUCCGAACCAGCCAUGCCGCGUGAAGGAUGAAGGUCCUCUGGAUUGUAAACUUCUUUUAUCUGGGACGAAAACGGGAUUUUUAUCUCAAUUGACGGUACCAGAGGAAUAAGCACCGGCUAACUCCGUGCCAGCAGCCGCGGUAAUACGGAGGGUGCGAGCGUUAUCCGGAUUUACUGGGUUUAAAGGGUGCGUAGGUGGGCUUAUAAGUCAGUGGUGAAAUCUCCGAGCUUAACUUGGAAACUGCCUUUGAUACUAUAGGUCUUGAAUUAUCUGGAGGUAAGCGGAAUAUGUCAUGUAGCGGUGAAAUGCUUAGAUAUGACAUAGAACACCAAUUGCGAAGGCAGCUUACUACAUAUAAAUUGAUGCUGAGGCACGAAAGCGUGGGGAUCAAACA